Molecule: unclassified non-coding RNA, 300 nt
Filed under: uncultured fungus
Lineage: Eukaryota; Fungi
Description: partial contains 5.8S ribosomal RNA, internal transcribed spacer 2, and large subunit ribosomal RNA
Rfam family: 5.8S ribosomal RNA (bases 1-52)
Source: RNAcentral
AACGCACAUUGCGCCUUCUGGUAUUCCGGAAGGCAUGCCUGUUUGAGCGUCAGCAAAAACCCUUCAGCAGACUAUUUUAUUGGUUUGUUAGGUAUUGAGUAUGAAGGAAUUGGGUCCUUGUGGCCUUGCUUCUACUUUAAACUUGCUGCACGACCGCAAGCUAUUGCCAGGUCUAUGGAAGUGGUGUUUACAUAUAUUUUCCAGUACGAUCUGACUAGCUAAGUGGCGUUAAACCAGUGUUGUCUACCAAGGCAACUGAAGUUUGACCUCAAAUCAGACAAGGAUACCCGCUGAACUUAA